This 459-nucleotide ribosomal RNA is filed under the name uncultured bacterium. RNAcentral's name for it is "partial 16S ribosomal RNA". It matches the Rfam family "Bacterial small subunit ribosomal RNA", at positions 338 to 795 of the family's 1533-position model. The record is from RNAcentral.
CCUACGGGUGGCAGCAGUGAGGAAUAUUGGUCAAUGGCCGCAAGUCUGAACCAGCCAUGCCGCGUGCAGGAUGACGGCUCCAAGAGUUGUAAACUUCUUUUGUACGAGGGUAAACGCAGGUACGCGUAUCUGUCUGAAAGUAUCGUACGAAUAAGGAUCGGCUAACUCCGUGCCAGCAGCCGCGGUAAUACGGAGGAUGCGAGCGUUAUCCGGAUUUAUUGGGUUUAAAGGGUGCGUAGGCGGAUCGUUAAGUCAGCGGUAAAAUUGCGGGGCUCAACCCCUUCGCGCCAUUGAAACUGGCGCUCUUGAGUGGAAGAGAGGUAUGCGGAAUGCGUGGUGUAGCGGUGAAAUGCAUAGAUAUCACGCAGAACCCCGAUUGCGAAGGCAGCAUGCCGGCUUCCGACUGACGCUGAGGCACGAAAGCGUGGGUAUCGAACAGGAUUAGAUACCCUAGUAGUC